GCUAUUUAAACACUUAUCAGGAAGCAUGUAAACUCCACAUGUGGCUCAUUCAGUACAUGUAGCUUUUAGUUUGUGGUUGAUCUCUGUGAUGAGUUCGCUCUGUGCAGCAACGACAAGAUGACACAUCACUCUGCAUAGACCCGCCUCUAAACAGCGUCGGUGCUCAGUCUGCAGUAGAAUUUGCAACUUUCACCCUGAUGCCAAAUCCUUGUCAUCCGUCAUGCAGGGCUGCAAGAGGUGAAAGGGACCGACUGGAAGUGAAACAGGAGGAUUUAUGUACCAGUUGUUCAUCAGCACAGAUGUCAAAAGCGCGUCUAAAGGCAACAAUGACUCCACUGAAUGCCGUCUCCGGGCAGAAAGCUUUAACUAUGUGACCCUCUCAGAAGGUUGACAUUUCACAUUCACAGAGCAACAACAUCAGAUGAAAAUCCACGAGAGGGCUUGAUCCCACUUUAAGGGUUUAGGCCAGAGUUUUUUCCUUUUUUUCCCCCCAGUGUUGAACUUUCUUUUUUUUUUCCACCCUGCAAAUGUGCCGCACCUACCUUCAACAUCCCAAAGUCACAGCAGCAAAUCCAGAGAAAUGACGUCACCGAUAAAGAGCGCAGAAGCAAAAGGAACCAGUCCAGGUAGAGCAGUCAGAGGGAAGCUUGUAAAUAUGGUUCUUUAUUGCACACAUGACAUUUGUUUUCCUUUUUCUUUUCUUUUCUUUCUUUUUUUUUUUUUUUUGGUGUGAGCAACAAAAACUGGCAUUACAUGUUUUACACCCUAUUCAAAAUUCUCAGUCUAACCUUCUAUAAAAUCAAGGUAACACAAAACAAAAUAAAGACUACUUCACAUAAAAACUUACAACUCCACAAAGAUCUCACAGAUAUUAGUGCACCACUAUAUGGAUGAGGAACUUACAAUAUAAUAUCAUUCUAGUAUAAUUUUAGGAGAAAAAAAAAAGCUUUUAACUUUUAAAUGAAUAUUUAUCACUGUCAAACAAAAGAAGAAAAAAAAAAAAAAAGCAAAACCAAAAAAAACCCCCAAAAAACACAAAAAAUCCAGUGGGGCUAAAAAUGUUCUCAUUCUGUAUUUUGGUAGCUUUUGCCCUUUAACCACCUGAGUGCUACAUCGCUGAGAUCAAUACUGAUUUGUUAACCUGCCGUUUAACUCAUUGGAGGAAUGUUUGUUAAACAGAAGAAAAAAUAAAAAUAAAAAAAUAAUAAAAAGAUUGACAGGUGAAAAGGUAGUUAGUAGAUAAAUACACUGAAUGCCUUGCGACAGAUUUGGAAAGGCACUGAGAGCCAGAGAAGGCAGCAGUAUGCAAACAGCCACUUCCUGCAUACUGUGGUCCAAUCAGAAAGAAAAGUUCUCAGUGGAUCAAAUCAAAAACAGGACCCAUUAAGCCAAAGUUUAAUGGUGGGAAAACAUCUUGUGACCAAAUUCCCUAUGAUUUGGUCAAACUUUGCCAGUUUAAUAGAAUAUGUACAUUGUGCUGGGAAACAAAAACAGAAAAAAAAAAGGAGAAGCUCGGGCAUUUAGUUUUUUUUGUGCUCAACAAAAAAGCUGUUGGCGAGAUAAAGGGAGACAGAAAAUUGGCACUUGAAUGAUAACAGUAUAAAAAUAUAUAAUUUCCCAAUCUGAGAAAAAAGGCACUUUUUUUUUUCCCCCAAACUCACAGCUGCAAUAUUUUAGGCAGUGUUUGUAGUACAUUGUGCUUCGGAAAAUAGCUUCACUGCCGUUUUCAUCAGCUCUUUUUUUUAGUUUUUUAUUUUUAUUUUUUUAAGAGCGAGACACUGAAAACCUCUCCGACAUAAAAGGCAAGACUUGUGACAGCACAAAUACACGGACUGGACGGAUUCUUAGCUCAGGUUGCUCAUUAUGGCACAGAGGAGCCAAUCAAAAGGCCAAUGCUUGAUGAUUAUUAAAUAAAAAAAGCUUACGCCUAACAUCAUAAAAUGUUAAAAAAAAACAAAAACAAAACAACAGUUUGGCUGCCUGUAAUCCAAUCUCUGCCUCUACUUGCUGGCGUACAAGCAGGUGUUAGCGAAAAACACCUGUUAUCAGAUCAAAGACACAAAAUGUUAAUUUCAGAGAGAAGAGAAAUGUUAAGUUUGAUGUUAGACACUUUUAAUCUGUGUUCUUUGCUCGUUGAGACAUGAAAAGAAUUGCAGCAGUUAAGGCCGAGUUGUUGUGCAGAUUUAUAAAAAAGAAAAAAAAAAAAGGAGGGAAAAAAACCAAAAACAAAUCUGGAGGCACCACUCAGUGGGUUAAAGUAAUAAUCAGGAUUAAUGAAGUUAAUCUUUUGCUUGCGUGUCAGCGUCAAUACCUCGAAUUAGUGGAAGAGAGAAGAAAGCUGAAUAGGGAGAAGAAAGCUGAAUGAACCCAGGGACGAGUGCACUGACACAGUAGGAGGAUGAACACUGGCAGUGAUUCAGACAAAAAAAAAAAUCUCCCCCAAAACAAUAAAUACUGGCGAGCUGAAAGCCAUAUCAGCAUUUUACACUGGAAGAAAUAGUGAAGUUGUUUUGAUCCCAAAGCUCUUCAUAUUGGCAUGGUGUACUGGUGUGUGUCUAAGCAUUAUGGAUGCUCCCAAAUGGCCCAGUAUUAGCCGUUAUAUCAAUAAGCUGAAUGGGGAGAAGUGUUCACCAAACAGACAACAGCUGGUGAUAACUGUAAUGCUGCUAUCCAGGCAUAACAAGCCACGGAUGCAAGGGAAGGGGACGACAAAAAACCCCACAACGGACAGCUUUAGACAUUCACACAACUGUCAUCUAGAAAUUCGCCCCGAGUGUCUGUUGUAAAUAACUCACCACGUUUAUAAUAUGCGGUGAUGAGAUGUUCUGCUCUACAUAUUCACAGUAAAAUUAAUCCUUCUGAGAUGACUAAUGUGCAGUAUUUAUUUAUUUAUUUAUUUUUUGCACAGUUGUGAUUAGUCCUGCACUAACUAAUGGUAAGAGAAAGGCUGUCUGUGGAAAAAUGUUCUCUGUGGGGACCGGGGUUUUUUUUUGUUUUACUUUGAGAGUAACCCGAGUGUACAGACAAAUCCAUUUAAAAUCAGAGUGUGCUUUGUUCAAGAGCUGACCCAGAAGUUAACCAGUGACCUCAAGCAACGUGCAGCUUAUUAAACCUCCCUCGCUCGCACCCACCCACCCCCUCUGCAACACUUCCUGCCGUCUCAUGGGGGAGGGGUCAGUGACACAGAAGGACAGGACAACUAACAAAAGAGUCGUCUCUAAGGGAGACGACGAGACAACAGCAGCAGUGUUGUAACUGAGCGGGGCGAGUAUGAAGAGUGUCAGCAGGUUUUUCUCCAGCACAGAGGCGUCCGUCUCAAUCUGAUCCUCGCUAACUUCCCAAGGGUUAUGACUGUUUUGGUCUUCGUCUUCCUUUCCAAUCAUAUUCAAGGUAACACCAUUUUUUUUUCUCACCCACUUGGUUUUUCUGUUUACCACUAUACUGUUUUAAACCUUUUUUUAUUUUGUUUUUUUUUCAGAUUUUGUAACUGCAAGUAAAGUAUCAAAAGCUAAAAUUGCCAAAAAUAGAUUUUUCAAUUUUUUUCUCAUCUCCAGCACCCUGUAAAAUUAUCUAUUUUUUGUUCUCUUCUGUAUUUGUAUAUGCAAUGACAGAUAUCUACAUUUUUAUAUAUUUAUAUAUAUAUAUUUAUAUAUAUAUAUAAGACGUAUGUAUAAAGCAAUUUGAACAGGCAGGCAUGGCUUUCACAUCCUAUUUUUUUCUUGAGAGAGUUGAACAAAAGAUUGUGGGCUCAGAAACUAGACUACGAUCACAGGAGGUGUGACACAUUGUGGAUGCGCUUUUUUUUGGAUGGUUUGGCAUGUGAAGUUUCAUCAGUAAUAUAAUCAAAACAAACAAAAAUAAAAGUAACUAAUCUUCAGGAAGGCUCCGAUUGUGCCGACCUCAUGUUCAGGCUAAUGUAAAAUAUUCAACUGGGGUUAAAAAUAAAAAUGCAUUUAAAAAAAAAUACAAAACUUGGCCAAAUGUCAAGAGAGAAAAAAAAAAGAAAAGAAAAAUGAAGAAAUAAACACUAGUUUGGCAAUGAGGCUGAUGAAACAACUUAAUUUAGAAGAAGGUUAUCAUGGCAAAGCAUUUAUGUACACAACUUCAAAGUGCCCUUCCCCCUAGCAAUGUACUGUAAUCCAGUAGCAUGUUGAUUUAGUGUUAAUUGCCUGUGUUCACCUCAGAAAAUAUAGAGCGGUAAUGGGUCAGAAAAAAUCUAAUAAAAAUCAUCUAACUGACUGGCUGUCUGUUCCAGCUGAAGGCAGGCACCAAAAAUUCACACCCUUCCAAACUCUAAAAUCACAAAGAGAGCCCUCAAUGAGACAGAUGCAUAAUUGCAGAUAUAAUUCACUGGAAACCCUUUGGCUAAAUAUGCACACUUAAUACUUUUUUUUUUUUGUCUUUGUGAUCACAGCUCAGCUAACUCAUUGAGAUAUUUUUCUAAAUACAUCAGGCACUGUAUAGUGGAUGUAGUGUGGAUGGGGGUGUAGCAAUGGCCAGUAGCUAAUAAGCACUGCUCCAAUGUCCCCGAAGCCUCAGCACACCCUACUUUCAUUGUAGUAUUAAUUUAAAAAAACAAAACAAAA
Long non-coding RNA from Stegastes partitus (bicolor damselfish), 4586 nucleotides. RefSeq lists it as uncharacterized. NCBI's taxonomy places the organism in Eukaryota, Metazoa, Chordata, Actinopteri, Pomacentridae. The record is from RefSeq and is a predicted model, not a curated record. The transcript is spliced from 2 exons.